This 394-nucleotide ribosomal RNA is filed under the name Thalamita prymna. RNAcentral describes it as "partial small subunit ribosomal RNA". Lineage: Eukaryota; Metazoa; Arthropoda; Malacostraca; Decapoda; Portunidae. The record is from RNAcentral.
GAUUAGAUACCCUAUUAUACCAAAAAAUAAUUUAACCAAACCAAAGUAAUAAUAGCUAUAUUCUAAAAAUUUGAAGAAUUUGGCGGUGAUUUAGUCUAGUCAGAGGAACCUGUUUUUGAAUCGAUAAACCACGAAUAAUCUUACUUAGGUUUGUAAAGUAUGUAUACCAUCAUUAUUAGGUAAUUUUUAUAGAAGCAAUUACUGGAUAAGUUUGUAAUAAUGUUAAAUAUAUUAGAUCAAGGUGCAGCUUAUACUUAAGUUAAAAUGGGUUACAAUAAAAUUUAUUUAUACGAAAUUAUAAUUUAAAUAUUAUUUGGAAGGAGGAUUUGAUUGUAAAGUCAGUUUAAUAUGCUGAUUGGAUAUAAGCUCUAAAUCAUGUACAUAUCGCCCGUCG